GCAGACACAUUCCAGCCAUCAGCAGCAGACCCUCCCUCUCAGACCCUCCCACCUCCUGGACCCAUUUUACAUUCAUUGUGAAGCUGCAUUCUUAGUGAGCUGUCCAGAAGGUGGGAGGGUCUGGGAGGGAGGGUCUGCCGCUGAUUGGCUGGAAUGUGUCU
Molecule: microRNA precursor, 161 nt
Filed under: Pelobates cultripes (western spadefoot toad)
Lineage: Eukaryota; Metazoa; Chordata; Amphibia; Anura; Pelobatidae
Source: RNAcentral